GUGGAUUAGAUACCCUGGUAGUCCACGCCGUAAACGAUGUGUGCUAGAUGUCGGAAAGCUUGCUUUUCGGUGUCGCAGCUAACGCGAUAAGCACACCGCCUGGGGAGUACGGCCGCAAGGUUAAAACUCAAAGGAAUUGACGGGGGCCCGCACAAGCGGUGGAGCAUGUGGUUUAAUUUGAAGCAACGCGCAGAACCUUACCAGCUCUUGACAUGGGAAGUAUGGGCCUGAGAGAUCGGGUUCUUCAGUUCGGCUGGCUUCCACACAGGUGCUGCACGGCCGUCGUCAGCU
Molecule: ribosomal RNA, 291 nt
Filed under: uncultured bacterium
Lineage: Bacteria
Description: partial 16S ribosomal RNA
Rfam family: Bacterial small subunit ribosomal RNA
Source: RNAcentral